CCUACGGGAGGCAGCAGUGGGGGAUAUUGCACAAUGGGGGAAACCCUGAUGCAGCGACGCCGCGUGGGUGAAGAAGCGCCUCGGCGCGUAAAGCUCUGUCAGCAGGGAAGAAAAUGACGGUACCUGAAGAAGAAGCCCCGGCUAACUACGUGCCAGCAGCCGCGGUAAUACGUAGGGGGCAAGCGUUAUCCGGAUUUACUGGGUGUAAAGGGGGCGCAGACGGCGAUGCAAGCCAGGAGUGAAAGCCCGGGGCCCAACCCCGGGACUGCUCUUGGAACUGCGUGGCUAGAGUGCAGGAGGGGCGGGCGGAAUUCCUGGUGUAGCGGUGAAAUGCGUAGAUAUCAGGAGGAACGCCGAUGGCGAAGGCGGCCUGCUGGACUGCAACUGACGUUGAGGCCCGAAAGCGUGGGGAGCAAACAGGAUUAGAUACCCUUGUAGUC
RNAcentral lists this ribosomal RNA (440 nucleotides) under uncultured bacterium. RNAcentral describes it as "partial 16S ribosomal RNA". It matches the Rfam family "Bacterial small subunit ribosomal RNA", at positions 338 to 795 of the family's 1533-position model. The record is from RNAcentral.